Molecule: ribosomal RNA, 287 nt
Filed under: uncultured Pseudomonas sp.
Lineage: Bacteria; Pseudomonadati; Pseudomonadota; Gammaproteobacteria; Pseudomonadales; Pseudomonadaceae
Description: partial 16S ribosomal RNA
Rfam family: Bacterial small subunit ribosomal RNA
Source: RNAcentral
AACCCUUGUCCUUAGUUACCAGCACGUUAUGGUGGGCGACUCUAAGGAGACUGCCGGUGGACAAACCGGAGGAAGGUGGGGAGUGACGUCAAGUCAUCAUGGCCCUUACGGCCUGGGCUACACACGUGCUACAAUGGUCGGUACAAAGGGUUGCCAAGCCGCGAGGUGGAGCUAAUCCCAUAAAACCGAAUCGUAGUCCGGAUCGCAGUCUGCAACUCGACUGCGUGAAGUCGGAAUCGCUAGUAAUCGUGAAUCAGAAUGUCACGGUGAAUACGUUCCCGGGCCUU